GAUGAAGUUUCCAAAUGUGUAUGUCGCUGUGAAGAUCUGGAGAAACAAAACAGAUUACUUCAUGAUCAGAUCGAAAAGUUAAGUGACAAGGUCGUUGCCUCUGUGAAGGAAGGUGUACAAGGUCCACUGAAUGUAUCUCUCAGUGAAGAAGGAAAAUCUCAAGAACAAAUUUUGGAAAUUCUCAGAUUUAUACGACGAGAAAAAGAAAUUGCUGAAACUAGGUUUGAGGUGGCUCAGGUUGAGAGUCUGCGUUAUCGACAAAGGGUUGAACUUUUAGAAAGAGAGCUGCAGGAACUGCAAGAUAGUCUAAAUGCUGAAAGGGAGAAAGUCCAGGUAGGUAUACUAAGCUUUAAGAAAGCACUUGUUAAAUCAAAAGAGAAGCACUCAUUUAUAUCUCUACCAUUUAACGUAACGUAAAAUUUAACUUGAAGUAAGCGUUCUUCUAAAGUUGUAAAUUCAUUAAGCAUUUGUUAAAGACUAAUACAAUAUAGUGCUUAAAAAUAAAGGCUCUGUAACCAAACUGUCUGGUUUCAGAUUCUAGCUUCAUCAUUAGCUGUGGCCUUGGGUACGUUGUUUAACUUCCCUGUUCUUUGUUUCUUCAUCUGCAAUAUUUGAUAAUAAUGAGGAUUAAUUGAGUUUGUGCACAUGAAGCAUUUAGAAGCAUGACUGGUAUGUAGUGGGUGCUUAAUAAAUUCCACCUAUCUUAAUUUAUUAUAGUUAUGGUUUAUACAUGUGGAUAGUCAUUCUAGGAUAAAGUGAUUUAAACUGCUACAGAAUAUCUUUCUCACCCAAGGAGCAAAAAGUAUUAAAAACUAACAACCAAAGGAAAAGAAGCUGUGGUAGUGAAAUGGAUGGUAAUAACACAAGCUUGACUCCUUACCCGACACUACCACCCAAAGCUUAUUGUUGAGUCACUUCAUUCUUAGGAGCUACAGUAAUAUACCCCCACAUCUAGAAGGAAGGAAAUUAAGAUCUUAAAACAUUUACCUUCUUUUAACUGAUGAGUAGUCAAAAUGACUGUUAAGAAGAAACCAUUGAUCAGGGAAAAGUAAAUAAUGAAGUUUAUGGGAUUUAUGUGUUCAGCAAAAGCUAAAGGUUCCAGAAUUAUAUACUGUUUAAUUCAAAUGUAUCUCACCGUGGAAAUAAUAGAGCCUCCAGUUCAAUAGAGUUAAUACUUGGAGGAAAAGGGACAGAAUCAGAGUCUCUAACAAAGACUGCAUAUUGUUUCAGUCUUUUCUGCUUCGUUUUUUAUUCCUUUGGGCUAUAGAAAGUAAAUACUAGAAAAAGCCCGCCCAUGAACAAGUUCACAGGGGGAAACCAACUCUUAAAUACAGGAAGGAGAGAGUCAACAAGUAACAUAGAUUAUAUAAAAAAUAAUAUAAUGGGCCAGGCGUGGUGGCUCAUGCCUGUAAACCCAGCACUUUGGGAGGCCGAGGCGGGUGGAUCACGAGGUCAGGAGAUUGAGACCAUCCUGGCUAACACGGUGAAACCCCGUCUCUACUAAAAAUACAAAAAAAUUAGCUGGGCAUGGUGGCGGGCACCUGUAGUCCCAGCUACUCGGGAGGCUGAGGCAGGAGAAUGGCGUAAACCCGGGAGGAGGAGCUUGUAGUGAGCCAAGAUCACACCACUGGACUCCAAUCUGGGCAACAGAGCGAGACUCUGUCUCAAAAAAUAAUAAUAAUAAUAAUGUAAUGUCUGUGUAAGCAUGAACAGUGUAGCAUGGCAACCAUGAAAUAUGCUAUAGCUUUAAAAAUAGUGGGGGAAGAAAGUAAUACCAAGUGCAGAAGAUGGAUAAUUAUAACCUAUGAGAAGGAAAAAAUUCUUCACAAAUAAUUCAGUAAAAUUUCUCAUAGCCAAAGUGAUAAAACAAUGGAUCAAAAUGAAGAGAGAUUUCUGAACAAGAGGGAGUAAACUGAGGAUUAGAAUAACAUUUUAGAACUAAUGAAUUUAGUGCAGCAAGGAAAAAAGAUACAGAAAAGUAAAUAGAGAUUUGGAUUAAUGUUUUUACCUAAUGUUAAUACUUUGUUGGUGGGAUUUGUAGCGUCUUUUCACUUUUAUCUUUGUAAUUCUUGUAUUUGUUUAAAGUCUGCAGUUAGUAUGCCUCACAGAAAAGUAAACGUGAACUUUCAAAAAUUUUAGUUCUAAAAGUUGAAACUUAAAUCCUCUUUACUUUGUCAUAGGGAGGAUUUGAGCUCAUAGGAACAGGUAGACUUUCAACUAUUGUUAGAUGUUGGUAUGUAUAUUUAUUUGAAAUGUUUAGGUAACUGCAAAAACAAUGGCUCAGCAUGAAGAACUGAUGAAGAAAACUGAAACAAUGAAUGUAGUUAUGGAGACCAAUAAAAUGCUAAGAGAAGAAAAGGAGAGACUAGAACAGGAUCUACAGCAAAUGCAAGCAAAGGUGAGGAAACUGGAGUUAGAUAUUUUACCCUUACAAGAAGCAAAUGCUGAGCUGAGUGAGAAAAGCGGUAUGUUGCAGGCAGAGAAGAAGCUGUUAGAAGAGGAUGUCAAACGUUGGAAAGCACGUAACCAGCAUCUAGUAAGUCAACAGAAAGAUCCAGAUACAGAAGAAUAUCGGAAGCUCCUUUCUGAAAAGGAAGUUCAUACUAAGCGUAUUCAACAGUUGACAGAAGAAAUUGGUAGACUUAAAGCUGAAAUUGCAAGAUCAAAUGCAUCUUUGACUAACAACCAGAACUUAAUUCAGAGUCUGAAGGAAGAUCU
RNAcentral lists this small RNA (2718 nucleotides) under Pongo abelii (Sumatran orangutan). RNAcentral's name for it is "retained intron". Lineage: Eukaryota; Metazoa; Chordata; Mammalia; Primates; Hominidae. The record is from RNAcentral.